This 4275-nucleotide unclassified non-coding RNA is filed under the name Hevea brasiliensis (rubber tree). Lineage: Eukaryota; Viridiplantae; Streptophyta; Magnoliopsida; Malpighiales; Euphorbiaceae. The record is from RNAcentral.
AAUAGAAUCCAAAAUGCGCACGGUAAUUGGACCACGUCCACAGAAAGACCAACAUUGAGCUCCUGCUUUAAUUUCUACACAAUUCCUUCAGUACCAAGUGUGGCUACCCUGCGCUUUCUCAGAACUAAAAGAAAACAAAAAAGCAUAUCGACUUUAUUGUUUCAAGGAAUAUUUGUGUUCUUUGAUCUGCUGGAGAGUUUGCAGAUAUUGAUAUUGUUGUUUCUCAGAAUCUUCUAAGUUGUUGAAAAGAUGGGAACUACCUUGUUCACUAGUUGCAGCUUUCCUUGGAGUUGGAGAUUUCAUCACCAACUAGUACCUUGCAGCCAUUUGCUGGUUUAUUCUUCCCAAGAAAGUGGAAUAUCAAGAGCUAAAGCAACUGCAGAACCAAGAGAAAGUGGGUAUCUUGAGGGAGAAAAUGAGAAGUCCUCUGGGUUUUUGAAGAGAAGGUCAGUUUUGGUUUCUGGGAUUUCUAUGCUUCCUUCUGCAGUUUUUGGAUAUCCAGGAGAGGGAUUGGCAGCAGUGAAACAAGGCCUUUUAGCAGGGAGGAUCCCGGGUUUAUCUCAACCAGAUGAAGAAGGUUGGUUUUCAAAGUUCUAUACUUGUUUUUUCCUUUCCCCUGAACUAAAAAAAUAUCAAUGUAAAGGUGUGUUCUAGAUUUUCUGGAAAGAAAGCUUUCAUUCUUAUGCUAAAUUCCACUGACAAUGGAAACCAUGGUGCAUAAUGGUAUGAUAUAGGCAAAACUUGUUUCAAACAGGCUCCACUUGUAUACUGCUAAUUGAAUGAAACCUGAGCUGAGUUUCUUGAUUGUAUGUGAAUGGUAAACUUCAUUAUCCAAAAUAUGCUCAGACAGGCUGGAGGACAUACCGCAGGCCGGAUGAUAAAUCUGGGGGGCAUGGUGUCGGAUGGAGUCCAAUUAUCCCUUAUGCAUUUGUAGUGCCUCAAGAUUGGGAAGAGGUUCCAGUAUCCAUUGCUGAUCUUGGUGGCACAGAGAUUGAUUUGAGAUUUGCCAGCUCCAAGGAAGGACGCCUGUUCGUCAUUGUUGCUCCUGUUCUUAGAUUUGCAGACAAUCUAGGUGGAAAUGCAUCAAUUGAACUUAUUGGACCUCCAGAGAAAGUGAUUAAUGCAUUUGGACCAGAAGUGAUUGGAGAGAAUGUAGAAGGGAGGGUUCAAAGCAUUAAUGUUGCAGAACAUUCUGGAAGAAUGUAUUACCAGUAUGAGCUAGAGCCCCCCCAUGUUCUGAUCACUGCAACUGCUGCUGGGAAUCGCCUCUACUUGUUCGCCGUAACUGGGAGUGGUCUUCAGUGGAAGAGGCACUACAAGGAUUUGAAGAGAAUAGCUGAAUCUUUCCGUGUUGUCUAGUCAAGCACUUUUCUGAAUUGAACUAAGCAAAGCAGUAUGCUUUUCCCCCCACAAUCUAAAACAAGAACAGAUAAGAGAAUCCAUUUACAGCAAAAUUAAUUCCCAUUUAAUAUCCUUUGUCCGGAGAAAAUUUUAGAAAUGCUCUGUAGAGAUUAAAAAAAUGUAUUUACAGUACAGUCAAGUUAAAUUGGAAAUUAUACAUGUACUCUGGAUGUAAUCUUUGAGAAAAACUUUCCUGAUGUUAGUCUUUAGCAGCUAGAUACACACGGGAAUAAAAAAUCCAGGUCCAGCUGCUUGACCAUUGCAUUUUUAACUCUUUAACUAAUUGCCAAACACUAUGCCCUCCUCACAUCCUGCAAUAUGGAAAGCCUCACGCACCACGUCAGUUGCAAAGCAUUGUAUUCCUUAAGUCCAUUGCAGUUCAGAGGUGGUGGCGGCACUAUUUGAUUAAAAAACAGUGCAGGUGAUAUUGCCAUAUAUUUCCCUCUUUCUUCUGCUGACCAGCCUUGCAUGAUUGGACAUUAGUACCAAGGAGUAGCACAACAAGGUUAAAUGCCCAUUGCAAGCACUGCACAUCUCUAAUCUACUGUGAGGCUAGUGUCCCCAUCCAACUAAAACGCACAACAAGUGAAACGCUCAUCUUUCUUCUGGUGAUCAACCUUUCGUACCAGAUCAAUGGACAUAUUUUACAAGGAGUGGUGCAACAAUUUUAUUGGAGCGUUUGCCUAGAUGCUGAAUCACAUCUUUUACCAGUGUCUUUUCAGUUUAUGGAGACCUUUCUCUGAAAAAAUGGGUGAUGGUCAACUUCACCGUGGCAGUCAACUUGGCAAAAGCAAUACUAUUGCUGCGUAUUCACUAGCACAACUGAACUGCGUCCGGGUGUCUUAGGAAGCCCUUUAGUCACCAUAACCAUCCUCAUCCUUUCAGCCUUUUCCCAACUAUCAGAAGCAGCAAAUAUAUUCGACAGCAGAACACAAUGUGGAUCAUUGCCAGAAUCUAUACUACAGUCUUCUCUUCUAACCUCUUCCAUUACUUGCUCCACCAUAUCCAUAUCCAAAUGAACUCGACAAGCUCCAAGCAAUGCACCCCAAACUGCAUCAUUCGGUUUCAUUGGCAUUCUCUUAAUGAACUCAUAAGCAUCUUGUACUCUUCCUGCACGCCCAAGAAGAUCAACCACACAGCCGUAGUGUUUGAUGCUUGCUGCUAGCCCACACUUAUCAAUCUUAGAGAAAAUUUCUAAACCUUCAUCUAUAAAUCCCCCAUGUGCACAAGCGGAGAGGACAGAUAAAAAUGUUAUCUCAUCGGGUUUCUCAUUUGACUCUUCCAUCCUCCUGAAAAAGUCAAGAGCUUCUUUGCACUGCCCAUGAAUGGCAAAACCUGAUAUCAUAGCAUUCCAACAGGCACUGCUUUUAUAGGUCAUCCCUUCAAAGAUUGAUCUCGCAUUAGUUAAAUCCCCACAUUUUGCAUACAUGUCAACUAAUGCAUUCAUAACAAACUGAUUAAGCUUUAUCCCUUUAUCAUAUACCAUUCGGUGAACAUCUUUCCCAACGUCCAGUAGACCCAGCUGAGCACAAGCAGAUAAAAUACCCGCAACUGUGACUUCAUCAGGUUCAAAGCCAUCGGCUUGCAUCUUUCUGAACGCUUCCAGGGCUUCCUCACAAAACCCAUUUUGCGCAUACCCACAAAUCAAAGAAUUCCAAUUUACCAAGUUCCUAAGUGGAACCCGAUCAAAAAUAGCCCUGGCCUCCUCGACAUCACCUAUCUUGCAAUAUCCUGAAAUCAUUGAUGACCAUGAGAAGAAAUUCCUCUCGGGCAUCUGUUCGAAAAGUACCCUUGCAUCUAUCAUCAGUCCUUUGCUUGCAUAUCCAUCAACCAUCACAGUCCAUGUUACCACAUUCUUCAACUCAGGAGGCACCUGGUCAAACAUACACCUAGCAGUAACCAAAUCUCCACUCCCUGUGAAUCCACGAAUCAUUUCAAUCCAAGUAACAGCAGUUCUUGUGGACAUUUUCUCAAACAAAGCUGACGCGGUUUUCAUACCUCCAUUUCUAACGUAUCCACCAAUCAUCGCAUUCCAUGUUACAACAUUUCUCUCGGGCAUACAAUCAAACAUUUUACGUGAAUCAAAUAUAUCCCCGGAUUUCGCAUACAUGUCAACCAACGAAGUUCCAAUCACUACAUCAAAAUCCACCCCAUUCUUGAUUGCUUCACCAUGCAAACAUUUUCCAUAUUUUACUAUAGAGGCAGAAGCGCAAGCCUUCAGAAUUGCAGGGACUAAACCCAAUAUGUAAGCUCCUUUACAUCGAAUUUGAUUGUAUAAAACUAAUGCUUCUCUUUGUGAUCCUUGAUAGAUGUAUUUCCUGAUGAGAAAAUACCAAUUUGGCUGGAGUGCAUUCGCGUGGCAAGAGCGAGAAUUUUGUUUGAUGAAGUUUUGAUGUGAUUUGCUCUGGUUUUGAUGGUCAUUGUUUGUGUUCUUUGGUGGGUUCUUCUGGGGCAAGUUCAUUUUCACAUCUCAUAGUCUCCCUUGUUUUGCAUGUUUUAGUGACAAAAUAGUUCUCUCGACUUCUGAUAAUCUCCUUUUUGCAUUAGAAAAUCCAAUUUGAAUAUGACACCUGAUAAGAAAAUCUCAAACCUUUUCCCUUCUGGACUGGUCUCCAGUCUUGGACGCUAAAUGUGUUUGUCCAAAAUGCCCUAUAAAAUUUUUAUGCUAACAGUGGCCGGAAAUUGGGAUACGCUUUUUGGGUGUUUGAGGAAAUGUCUCUGAGAGGCUGAAAAUGCAAUUGGGGUUGUUUGAUUCCACGUCGGAGACAAGCCUUAUCACAUUGAAUUCUAUUGUUUAGGGGCUAUCAAUGGCUGAGAAAAUGGAGUGUAUUCGUUGAGUCUUCGAGAGGAUGCUAGUAAGAAAUUAAGUUUCGU